UACAGAGGGGGCAAGCGUUAUUCGGAAUUAUUGGGCGUAAAGGGCGCGUAGGCGGCCUGGCAAGUGGAAGGUGAAAUCCCUCGGCUUAACCGAGGAACUGCCUCCCAAACUGCUUGGCUUGAGACCGGGAGAGGUGAGUGGAAUUCCCAGUGUAGCGGUGAAAUGCGUAGAUAUUGGGAGGAACACCAGUGGCGAAGGCGGCUCACUGGACCGGAACUGACGCUGAGGCGCGAAAGCGUGGGGAGCAAACAGG
This 253-nucleotide ribosomal RNA is filed under the name uncultured bacterium. Its description in RNAcentral is "partial 16S ribosomal RNA". It matches the Rfam family "Bacterial small subunit ribosomal RNA", at positions 524 to 776 of the family's 1533-position model. The record is from RNAcentral.